RNAcentral lists this ribosomal RNA (380 nucleotides) under uncultured cyanobacterium. RNAcentral describes it as "bacterial SSU rRNA". It matches the Rfam family "Bacterial small subunit ribosomal RNA", at positions 376 to 770 of the family's 1533-position model. The record is from RNAcentral. Lineage: Bacteria; Bacillati; Cyanobacteriota. RNAcentral also lists the same sequence under 1 other name.
CGAAAGCCUGACGGAGCAAGACCGCGUGAGGGAAGAAGGCUCUUGGGUCGUAAACCUCUUUUGUCAGGGAAGAACACAAUGACGGUACCUGACGAAUCAGCCUCGGCUAACUCCGUGCCAGCAGCCGCGGUAAUACGGAGGAGGCAAGCGUUAUCCGGAAUUAUUGGGCGUAAAGCGUCCGUAGGUGGCUAGUCAAGUCUGCGGUCAAAGACUGGGGCUUAACCCUGGAAAGGCCGUGGAAACUGACGAGCUAGAGUGCAGUAGGGGUAGAGGGAAUUCCCGGUGUAGCGGUGAAAUGCGUAGAGCUCGGGAAGAACAUCGGUGGCGAAAGCGCUCUACUGGACUGCAACUGACACUCAGGGACGAAAGCUAGGGGAGCG